Molecule: transfer RNA, 69 nt
Filed under: Ictidomys tridecemlineatus (thirteen-lined ground squirrel)
Lineage: Eukaryota; Metazoa; Chordata; Mammalia; Rodentia; Sciuridae
Description: Spermophilus tridecemlineatus (thirteen-lined ground squirrel) tRNA
Rfam family: tRNA
About the family: Transfer RNA (tRNA) molecules are approximately 80 nucleotides in length. Their secondary structure includes four short double-helical elements and three loops (D, anti-codon, and T loops).
Source: Rfam by way of RNAcentral
GGGGUUGUGGCUCAGUGGUGGAGCGCUUGCCUUACACGUAUGAGACCCUGGGUUCCACCCUCAGCACCA